RNAcentral lists this ribosomal RNA (422 nucleotides) under uncultured Polaribacter sp. RNAcentral's name for it is "bacterial SSU rRNA". It matches the Rfam family "Bacterial small subunit ribosomal RNA", at positions 355 to 774 of the family's 1533-position model. Lineage: Bacteria; Pseudomonadati; Bacteroidota; Flavobacteriia; Flavobacteriales; Flavobacteriaceae. The record is from RNAcentral.
UGAGGAAUAUUGGGCAAUGGAGGCAACUCUGACCCAGCCAUGCCGCGUGUAGGAAGAAUGCCCUAUGGGUUGUAAACUACUUUUAUACAGGAAGAAACACUGGUAUGUAUACCAGCUUGACGGUACUGUAAGAAUAAGGACCGGCUAACUCCGUGCCAGCAGCCGCGGUAAUACGGAGGGUCCGAGCGUUAUCCGGAAUCAUUGGGUUUAAAGGGUCCGCAGGCGGUCAAUUAAGUCAGAGGUGAAAUCCCAUAGCUCAACUAUGGAACUGCCUUUGAUACUGGUUGACUUGAGUCAUAUGGAAGUAGAUAGAAUGUGUAGUGUAGCGGUGAAAUGCAUAGAUAUUACACAGAAUACCGAUUGCGAAGGCAGUCUACUACGUAUGUACUGACGCUGAGGGACGAAAGCGUGGGGAGCGAACA